GCAGAUUAAGCUAGUUUUAACACUUGAGGAGCUUAAAUACAAGCACUUUUAUUAUGUUUUAGUUGAGUUUUUAUAGUUUAGGUUACAAUCAAUAAAAAAGUGUAUUUUGAGUCUUUUAUUGACCUUAGGGACCGAAUGAGGCCUCAAGGCAAGCUAAUGUGCUUAGUUAGUGUACAGGAGAUCAUGCAAGGGCAUAGGAACUUAAUACUUGUGUUGCAACAUAGGGUGUUUGAGGUUGCAACAUAGGGAGCAGAAUGCAAGAAUUGCCAUACUGUCUUUGGUAUUGCGACACACCCCUAAAGCCAUCCGUGAACUACACAUACUACCCUAGAUGUAGUGACACCGGCCUUUUAUGGGAGAUAAUUAUGAACCAAGGACGUUUUAGUCCAUACAACCAAUAGUUAAACAUGAGAGCAUCAGCAAAUCUAGGGUUGAAGUUGAUGGCAACCUUAACUUUAUAAAUAGGCUCCUAAACACUUGUUAAAGGAUGACUUUUGAUAUUCUAAGCCUUUUUUGUAAUUUAGUUUUCCAGUUUUUUUCUUUCUCUUAAGUUUAGAUUUCUUUUCAGUUUUUUUCAUUCGUGUUCUUUGGAGAAAUUGAUUUGUAGACACUGUAUUAGCCCAAAUUUGACCGGGCUGAAGAUAGAAUAAAAAGGGUUAAAUAAAUAAGUAUUUAUCUAUUUUAAAAGUCCAUUAAAAGUCCAUAUACAGAGUCCAAAAGAAUUAAACCCCAGCAGCCCAAAAUACACCCGUAGCCCAAUUUAAACCAAACCAGGUUACACCUAAGCCUAAAUAACAGACCCUAGACUAAAGUGGCCCAAAAGGCCCAAAACGGUAAAAACAGACAAGGAAACCCUAGGGUUUCCUGAGAACACAGCGCCGCAAGGAGUUUCUAGAAGAUUUGGGCACUCCAAACGACGUGACCUUUCAUCUCACAGAUUCAACGGCCCAAUCGUCGCCACCAAGCACGCCGUGAUUUCUCGUCUCUGUCACCACUAGACUUCAGGCCUCCAUCAGCGCUAGCAACCUUCCAUCACCGAGAUCUUCGGGGUACCUGCAAGAAAUGGAAAGAAAUCAAAGCAAAAGGUAGCAGAUAUACUAGAGCAGGAAAUGGAAAUAAAUCUUCUGAUUUCUUUCCAAAAUAGGCAGUAGUCUGAGGCUAUAAAGCCUUUCGCAAAAUCUGUAAAUAGGAGGAUAUGAGAAGAAAAAAAAAUACAGAAAAAAGAUUUUACUAGCAGUUGUAUCCAUUUAGAGCAGAAGAAAUAAAAAAGCAGUUCUUUUUUCGUUUCUUACGGUAAUCAAAUCAUUUUUUUAUUCUUUUCUUUUUCUUCUAUUUGUUUUCUGACCUGUAUACAUUGAUUUGAGAAAUAAUAAAAGAAAAUAAAAGAAAAAGGAGGCUACCUAACGAUUGGCGAAGGAAGGGAAUGGUUUUUUGAACCCUAGACACUGUGCGCGGUGGUCCUUAGGGAGGCGCGUGGGCGCGUGAAGCCUACGACUGGGGCGAGGCCUACAGAGGCCAAAGCCCAGAGCUUCUCUCCUUUCUCUCUUUUUCAGAGAAAAUUUUAGGUUUUUUUUUAAAAAAAUCGGGUUUCAAAUGAGUUUAAGGUUGAGAAGUUGGCUUAUAUAGCCUUAAUGAAGCGAUAUAGUUUCAUAACCCCAAGAUCCGCGCGUUGACCCGAUUACCCGGGGAGGAUCCGCGUGUUUUUUUAGGAUUGGGUUAAUUACCCAAUUGAUCCUUCCACCCUUUUUGCGUUUACAAUUAAGUUUUAUUUUAUUUAUGAUUUAACCUUAAUACUUUGCCUCAAUUGUGAUUUAAUCCCUAAAGUAGCUGCUUUAAAUCCCAGUUUAAAACGCAGUCGUUUUGGGAAUAGGAAAAUUUUCCCAAUGAGUCCCUUUUGUUUUGCGCUUGUUUUAAUUAGGACUUAAAUUCAGUUCUAUUUCUUUUGAAUUCGCCUAGUAAUUUUGCUGAAUUUUAAAUUUAGCCCAAUAGAUUUAUUUUUAUUAUUAUAUAUAAAUAUUUCAUAUAUUGUAAUUUGCUUUUGUUUUUUUUACCCUACUUUUAUAUUAUAUAUUGAAAAAUUAUUUUAUUAUAUAUAUUAAUAUUAUUUAUUAUCUAUUGUUUUUCACAAAAUAUUAUUAUUUUACAUCAUUAUUUUUUUAUAAUUAUUCUAUUUUUACUUGUAUUAUAUAUUUAUUAACUAUUUAUAUAUAUAUUUUUGACAUAUAUACUCUUAUUAUUUUAUAUUAUAUCUAUUAUAUUUCUUAUUUCCUAUAUAUUUAAACUAUAUUUUAUUAUAUAACGUUUAUUAUAUUUUUAUUUUUAUUCUAUAUUACUUACUGUUUUUGUUAUGUAUAUCAUAUAUUAUCUAUUAUAUUAUUUAUGUUUAUAUGAUUCAUUAUAUUAUUUAUAAUUUUAAAAUUUGUAAAUUAAAUUAUUUUUUUAAAAACUCAUAUUGUAUUCAUAUUAAAUUAUUAAUUAUUAAUUAUUUUAUAUUUUUUAUAUAUUAUGUGUUACUUUAUAAGCUCUCUCACAUACUUUUAAACCAAUAUAUUUUAUAUAUAAUUAUUACCCUUUUAUAAAUAUUUUGUUAAUAUGUAUAUUGUAUAUUAAAUACUAUUUUAAAAUUAUUAUUAAAUAUCAUGUUUUAUUUGUGUUUCAUGUAUAUUUUGUUAACAAUUGCUCAUUUCAUUUUAUUUUAUAUUGCAUAUAUCAUGUGUUAAAUGUCAUUUUAUAUUUAUUAUUUGAUAUUACAUUUUAUGAACAUGUUCAUUGAUGUUGUAUUACUUUGUUGUAUAUCAUGCAUUAUCUAAGUAUUACAUUGUAUGUUUGGACGUUUUGUUUAUUCAUUUCUCAAUACAUGCUAUAUAUAUCUUUGUAUGCAUAUUGUUAAUAUUUGCUAUGUAUAUAUUAUCUUUAUAUGAAUGUAUCUAAUGCACGAUCUUUAUAUUAUUACCCUCAUUUUGAUUAAAUGCACGUAUUAUUUAUUUACUAUAAUAAUAUGUUACUAUGUAUAAUUUAUAAUACAAUACAAUUCCCCAUGCAUCAUUUUAAGGCCCCAAAGUUUUCAAAAAAAUAUAAAGGCAAUGCUUGGUGUUUGGAAAUUUCGAGAAAGUAGUGCCCUAACUUAUUGGGUUGCAACUUUUCUCGUUAAGUUUGAAUAAUCAAGUACCCUUCUUAGUUUUUAAAUGUUUGCAAAACGUGAGCAACUGUCUUGGAAUCGCAAAGCAACAUGUCCUAACUUAUUGGAUGUAGCGUUUUGUUGUUUCGAGAUAGGGAUUUCUAAAAAGCUAACUUAGUGUCAAUACUUUGAUACGAGUGAACUCUAAUUUACAAAAAAAAAUCAAAAUAUUCUAAAAGGGAUUGCAUUCUUAAAAUUUUUGAAUCUCCGACAUUAAAGACACUUGAUAAUCAAUUAGGUACCAAUUUUUGGGCGUUACGAGGGUGCUAACCCUUCCUCGUACGUAACCGGCUCCUGAACCCGUCUUCUGAUUUCGUAGACCAAAACUAAUGAUUUAAAAAAAAUGUUUAAAAGGUGAUCCAAUCACACCUAAAAGGAUUGGUGGCGACUCCCUUUUUUGUUUUUUAAAGUCGACUCCCAUUUUACAAAACUCGAUUUAAAAAUGGUUUCGAUAGCUUGGCGACUCCACUGGGGACUAAUAAGAGAGUCAAGCCGUGUAAUUGAUUAUCUCUUGUCUUAUUGUGGAAAAUUAAAAAUUUUAAAAUUUAAUCUUCUUUGCAUUACAUGUGUUUGUAUUAUUACAUGUGUUGCUAUAUUCUAAUACGCAUUGCAUUUGCAUGACCGUUGUGGUCACACCUUUAAGUGGGAGUGAGAAACUAUGCCUUCGUGAGGUUUUUGCCUUCAUACAGGAUAGUGGAUCACUUUCGGAAUACAUCCGUACUUAUGGUUUUGUGAGAUUUUUAUCUCCGUGUAGCCAUAGGGAAAUGUAUUCCCCUGAACCAAACUCCAUUCAAAUGAGCCCAUAAUGGGUGAGAAUCGAGGAAUCUGCUGGUUUAGGUACCUCAAAUUUUAGAACCAACCUCAUAUCGAAAGAUCAUAUGAGCCCAACUUAGUUAGGUUUAAACUUUAGAUAUUACCCUUAUAAGUUAUCGUUGAAAUUUAUUGAUAUCAUGUGAUACUGACUAUUUCUUUUCUUUUGUUCACAUGUCAUUUUGCAUUUACAAAGGUAUCGAUUCACGAUCAGUUUCUAAGUUAGGAAGUUUUAUUAUGGAGAACGGACUUCUUCAUAAGUGGAAGGCAACGCUAAUGACCAUAGAUGGUCUGAGCAAACUCAACUAUAAAAGGGAGAUAGUAUAGCUGAGGGAUACGUGUCAGAGUUGUCAGAUUACACUCGCAUUAGUGUCACGCAGAAUAAUCUCCAGGAGCUUAAGGAAAUUUGGGAUCAGUGGGGCAAAGAGACCAAGCAGUUAUUCUACGAUAAUUAUGGAGACUUACCUUACUUGCUUGAUGUUCAGAUAGUCGAGCACUUAUUCUGAACCCUUGCUCAGUUUUGGAACCUGGCGUACAAUUGCUUCACUUUUGGGGAAGUAGACAUGGUACCUACUGUGGAGGAGUACACGGCCUUGCUUCGUUGUCCCAGAUUUCAGAACGAUAGAAUCUAUUCUCAAGCUGCUUGUGUCCCUACCUUUUGGAAGAAAUUGAUGAUUAUUACAGGGAUGGGCGAGCAGUGGGCCAUGGCCCGAAUUAAGGAAAAGGGUGAGUGCAAGUGCAUUUCGUGGGACACUUUGAAAGAUUUGAUUCUGACACACCUUGAUGAGAUGAAGAAGGUAGAUGUUUUUGCCUUAAGUUUGUAUGGAUUAAUGGUUUUCCCUAGGGCUUUGGGAUAUGUGGAUGAGGAAACCACGGAUCUUUUUCAUCGACUCAGUAAAAAGGUCACUUCUGUCCCUGCAAUUUUGUCGGAAACAUUCAGGUCUUUAGGUGCAUGUAGGAGGGCUGGUGCUGGCAGGUUUAUAGGGUGUGCUCAGCUACUUUUGGCUUGGUUCUACAGUCAUUUCCGGUUGAUAGAUAGGGUGGUUUGUUGGGUUUUUUUCGAGGACUAUUCACUGUUGAAAGAUAUAGUAGCUUCAACUAGGAGAGUUGAUGUUCCAGAAGAGAAUUGGAUAGCGCUACUUUAGAAUCUUCAGUCGAAAGAUGUCGAGUGGAGGGCUCCGUGGAUGAUGCUUGGAGAGGUUCUUUAUCGAUGCGGCAGUUUUGAUUGGGUACCCCUAUUGGGAAUUUAGGGUGCCAUUGGUUAUACCCCUUUGCUCGUGCUGAGGCAGCAUGGAUUGAAACAGUUCGUAUCGACGACUCAGGGGUUGGCUCAAAGUGAGUUCGUAUAUAGAGGAGCCGAUUACAAGAGGAAAGUUAGUGAAGUUUCUAAUGCUUGGAAAAAGACUUGUCGGUUGAAAAGAGUAGCUAUUAGUCCUGCAACCACACCGGAAUACAUUGAAUGGAGAGGCAGAAGGGUUAACGAUAAUAUCCCUAAGCCAAGUGUGGAAGGAGCUCGACCGAUGGAAGAAUAUUUGCAAGUAAGGCCCUCAGAGUCAGAAAUUAUGAAGCAGGAGUUCGAGAGAAAGAACUUGGAGUUCGAGAAGAGGAUAGCAAAGCUUGAAGAGGAAAAGAUGUACUUGAGUUUAGACGUCGAUGUUCAAAAGAUGGAGCUCGAGAAAGAGAGAAAAGAAAAGAGGAAGAUCGAGAUGAUCUAAAGGAACAUUACAAAUGGGCACAAGUAUCCUUAAGGAGGGCGACGAGAGUAGGAGGAUCUUCAGAUCAGUUGCAGAAGGAGGUCCAAAAGGAAAAGGCUAGGGCCGAGUAUUGGGAGAGGAAGUUCCAAGAGAUACAGGUACAGAAUUUGGCAUUAGAGGAAGAAAAUAAAGGGUUGAAGACUAGGGUAACUGAGCUUGGAAGAUCCCUACAUUGGCACCAAAACCAUAACUCUACGGUCGAGUUAAAGGAGCUAAAAAGCAAGGUUGAGGAUUUGAAAAUGGCAUUGCAUGACGGUGAACUCCGGGUUGAGCAGCUUGAGGCACAAGAGGACUAUUUGAAGGGAGAGCUUCAUCAGGCUAGGGGACAGGUCAGAGAAAGGGAUCAUGUCAUUGGUGAGGCCAUAGCCCAAAUUCGAGAGGUCGCCGAAUAUGUACAAGACUUAGCAAUUCGAGUUGAUGUAUUGAGUCUGAUGCAUUCAUCAUCGUCGAAUGUAGGAUGAGAGUUAACCCUUUUAUUAGAUAGAGUUAAAGCUUUGGGCCUUAGGGCGAAAGCGUAUUUGUAAUCCUCUUAUAUGUAAAGAUAUUAUUUUUCUAAAUAAAAUUUUCUAAAUGAAGUUGAACCAGAAUCGAUAUCCUUUUUACAUUCAUGCAUUUACAUCUCAUAGCAUUUCAUCAUAUCAUUUGCAUUCAAAGUUAUAGAAAGACCCUGAUUAGUUAAAAUUUUCUUCCAAAGGUAGAAAGGAAAAUCUGGAAAUCACACAUCCUUACGGCACUCGCACUAAAACUAAAAGCAUGGAUCAAAGGUUCGAGCAAUUACAAAAAGAUAUGCAAUACCAAAUGCAAGAGCAGUUGGCUAAAAUGCAGAAUGAAAUGAGGGAGCAAAUGCUAGAGGCUCAGAGGAACAUGAUGGCUGAAAUGGCUCAGCUGUUGAGAGCCACUGAUAAAGGAAAAGCUCCCAUGGUGAUCACUGAAGAGGAGAAUGAGGGUCCUCCUCCAAGUUUUACUCCGCCUCAUGUGCCACUACAAACUGAAGCACCUCCUAGAAGGCCAUCUGUUACCGUGAGGCCUCAGCAUGGGCCAGUUGAUGCUGGAAUCCCCGUAAAUUUCCCAUCUGGGUUGGGAAAUAAUUUGGGUGAUAGCUCGGUCAACCCUAUCACUCAUGAUCUGGAUUUUUGAAAAGGAAAGAAUGGCAACUGAAUCCGCAAAACAAUUUGAAGAUCGUUGCAGGUGGUUAGAGGAGAAGUUUAGGGUUUUGGAAGGCGCUGGCAAUCAUCAUGGGAUUGAUGCAAAAGACCUAAGUUUGGUCCUAGAUUUGGUGCUUCCUCAUAAAUUUAAGAUGCCAGAGUUUGAAAAGUACAACGGAACUACUUGCCCAGAGGCACACAUAAUAAUGUUCUGUAGGAGAAUGACUGGAUAUGUGAACAAUGAUCAAUUAUUAAUCUAUUGUUUUCAGGAUAGCCUGGUAGGAGCAGCGGCUAGAUGGUACAAUCAGUUGAGCCGUGCAAGAAUCAGUUCAUGGAGAGAUCUGGCACAGGCCUUCAUGCAACUGUACAACCACGUGACUGAUAUGACGCCAGAUAGGAUCACACUUCAAAACAUGGAGAAAAAGCCUAAUGAAAAUUUUAGGCAAUAUGCACAACGAUUGAGGGAGGUGGCAAUGCAAGUACAACCACCAUUGUUGGAAAAGGAGACCCCCAUGUUAUUUAUUAAUACUUUGAAGGCGCUAUUCAUCACACAUAUAAUUGGAAGUACCACGAAAAGUUUCGCGGGUAUAGUUAUGGCGGGUGAGAUGAUUGAAAAUGCCAUGAGGGGCGGCAAAAUUGAGGGGGAAGUGGCUAAAAGAUCAGCCUCAAGGAGAAAAGACAAUGAGGUGAAUAACAUGAACAGUUUCAACUCCAGGGUAAUCACAAUUGGACAACCUAAAGUAGGUACGGGUGAGCAACAAAGUACUCAAAGACAGGAAUCGGGUACAAGACAGAAUUCGGAGAGGAUGCAAUUCGCUCCUAUCCCUGUGACAUAUCGUGAGCUUUAUCAAAGCUUAUAUGAUGUACAAGCCAUUGCUCUGUUUCACUUAAAACCACUGCAGCCACUAUACCCUAAAUGGGAUGAUGCAAAUGCUAAAUGCGAAUAUCACGCGGGAAUAUCAGGGCAUUCAAUUGAAAACUGCACUUGUAACACCCCGUACCCGAGACCGUUGCCGGAGUCGGACACGAGGGGUUAACAGGCUUAAUUCCCUUAUUUUUACAGUCCAUUUUAAAAAUUUCUAGACUAGCUGGCUAACUGCGUCACUGUCACCUUAAAAAUCAUAUCUUGAGUUCCAAAACUAGAAAAUCAGUUUCGUAAAUUUUCCCUGAAACUAGACUCAUAUAUCCAUCUACAAAUUGUUUUCUAUAAUUUUUGGUCAGGCAAAUUAGUACAGUUUAUUAGUUAAAGUCUCCCCUAUUUCAGGGUUCGACUGCUCUGACCUUCAUGCAUUACGACUUAUAUAUCUCCCUGUACAGGGCUUCAAUACUUAUGACGUUUGUUUUUAAAGAAACUAGACUCGAAAAGUAAUCUAUACAUAUAUGGCAUGACUUCUAACUAUCUCUGGUUAAUUUAAAAUGAAUUUCCUAAUUCCAAACAGGGAAUCCAGAAACUGCUCUGGCCCUGUUUCACAAAAACUUUAAAAUCUCAUAAAAUACUAUUCAUAUGAUCGUUUCAUUACUUCCUUAUGAAAAUAGAUUCAUCUAGGUUCAAUUACAUAAUUUAUUCACUAUUUAAUUCCAUUCUUACUAUUUUUAGUGAUUUUUCAAAUCCACACCACUGCUGCUGUCAGCAUUUGUUUUUAAGGUAAACCUUACCUAUUUCAUGGUUUUCCAUGAAUCAACUAGAGUUUGUCAUACAUAGCAUCAAAAUAAUCAUAAUUAACCAUUCCCAAUGGCUAAUCGUUACCAAACAUUUCCAUACCUCUCAAUGAGCAACAUACAAGACGAUUAUAAUGCUAUGCUCAAAGUGUAUAUAAGCCAUUUUCGCAUGGCUAUCCAAAUUUAUACAAAACCAAAGGGUACAUGACCAACAACAAAAAGGGUAGUCCUAUACAUGCCAUUUCAGAGUUCAACCAAAAGUGUACCAAGGGGGGGCUUUGAUAGUGUGGACGACUUCGACUUCGACAAUCCCGAGUCUGAUAGCUGACGAACCAAAAUCUAUAAAACAGAGAAUCAAAGAAACGGAGUAAGCAUUUAAUGCUUAGUAAGUUUUGAAUAAUGAAAUUAGUUUCGGCUAAGGUAUAACAUUCAUAUGGCUAAAUGGAUAACUUCAUAUAUGCACAUUCUCAUAAACAUACUUACUUCACGCUUCAAUCAAUAUAUUCAUUCACAAGGUAUCAAACCUAACUAAAGGCCGAAAAUUCGUUAAUCAAUUGAAUGAAUACUAUUUAAAACGAAUCGACUUUUCCGAUGCAUAUACGAAACAUACCUCAUCGUUUGGAUUUUAUGAGCGUAUUAAUUUGAAAUUUACAGCAAGAUCGCUCAUUCCCAAACCAAGUACCUUCGGAGUUUAGCCGGAUAUAGCUACUAGCUCAAAUGCCUUCGGGACUUAGCCCGGUUAUAGUAACUCGCACAAAUGCCUUCGGGACUUAGCCCGGAUAUAGUAACUCGCACAAAUGCCUUCAGGCUUAGCCCAGAAUUAGUCACUAGCACAAAUGCCUUCGGGACUUAGCCCGGUUAUCAAUCUGAAUAUCCAUGCACAUAUCAAUAAAUCAUGACACAUCAAUAUUUCAUUUUCAUAACUAGAAUUCAAACACAAUUCACUUAUCAAGCAUUAUCAUUCUCGGCUCAAUAGCUACAUACAAAGGGCAUGAUUUUGAUUUGCUUAUAACAUAAUCUAAUCGAAUCAUAAUCUAAGUUUCAUUACUCGAAAACUUACCUCGGAUGUUGUCGAACGAUUUCGACGGCUAUUCGAUCACUUUUUCCUUUCCCUUAUCCAACUUUGGUCCUCUAAGCUCUUGAGCUAAUUCAAACAAAUUUAACUUAUUAAAGUCUCAUUAUGCUAGCUUAUGGCCGAAUAUGACAAUGAAUUUGAUAGGUCAUAUGGCCACCUUUAGCUCAAAUACAAAAUGGUCAUACGCAUUUUUAAUCACAUUAAGCAAUUUAAUACCAUUAAUCUAACAUUUCCUCAUGUGCAACUUUAUGACCGAAUACACAUAUCAUUAACUCAAUAUCAAUUAAAUAAGCACUUAAACAAAUUCUCUUUAACUAUACACACAUUCGGCAAUGACAAAGACAAUUUAGCAAACCUUAAAUUCAACUUAUAACAAUAUAUAUAUUCAAUAUUCAAAGCAUUUAACAUCACUCCACCAUAAUUUUUACAUCAUGGCCGAAUGUUCCUUUGAACCAUUUACCCUUACAAGGCAUAAAUUUCACCAUCAAAACUAACAAGCUUAUAAUCCCAUGACCGAAACCUCUAACAACACCAAUUGAGAAUACUUCAUGGGUUUGAGGUAAAACCAAGAAAGAAACUCAUAAAUAUCGAGAUAUAAGCACUAACAUUGUUCAUCUAGAUUUAGCAUGAAACAACAUCCAUCACCCUUAUAAUUACCAUAGCCGAAAACCUUACUCAUUCCAAAAUCCAAAUCUCAACUUGGGUCACAAAAAUAACUUGAUAUCUCAUCAACACAACAUCAACACCAAGCAAGAAUGAUACAUCCAUGGCCGAGUGUCAUCUCCAUCACAUAGCAAGAUUUAGACCAUGGGCUAGGUAGAACUCAAGCUAACAACUAAAACAUGCAUGCAUCUCAUGAACAUCAUCAAACAUACCUUAGUCUAGCAAACCACCAUAGCCGAUUUCCUCAAAGCUCUUUUUCCUUCUUUUUCUUUCUUCUAUUCGGCCAAGAACAACAUGAGAGCUUUUUUUUCUUUCUUUUUCUUUCUUUUAUUCGGCCAAGAACAACAUGAGAGCUUUUUUUUUCUUUCUUUUUCUUUUUUCAUCAUCAUUUACCUUCCCAUUAUUAUUUUAUUGCCCAUACUCCUUAUUUUAUUUUUCCUAACAUAAAGCAUUAACCCAACAUGUUCAUGACAUGUUUUUUUAGCCAUAACAUUUUGUCCACCCUCAUGCUCAUGGACGGCCACUACUAAUUAGGGGGGAAAAUUGACAUGCAAGUCCACCCUUUUGAUUACAUGCACUAAUAGAUCCUUAUAAAUUAACCUAUCACAUUUCAAAAGUGUCACACAUAAGUCCUAUUGACUAAAUUCACAUGCAAUUUACUAAAUCGAAGCUUAAAACUUUCACACAUUCAUAUUCACAUAUUUUAGACAACAAAUAUCAUAUUCAAAUAAUUUGGUGACUCGAUUUAGCGGUCCCGAAACCGCUUUCCGACUAAGGUCACUUUAGGGCUGUCACAGCACUGGGUUCAAGAAGGUUGUGGAGAGGCUCAUCAAAAUGGGGGUGGUGAAAUUCGAUAGUACCCCUAAUACUGAAAAUCCGUUACCAGACCAUGGCAAUCAAGGAGUGAAUGCCAUCGAUGAAAUAAAGAAAGGAAAAGUCAAGGAAGAUAUUGCUGAGGUGAAGACACCUAUGAAAGUAAUAUGGGAGGAGAUGUGAAAAGAGGUAUGCUGACCUCUAGAAGAGGAAGAGAAAGAAUGGAAUACUAUUGUGAAUUCCAUGGAAAGGUGGAUCAUAUGAUCCAAAAUUGCGAAGAGUUCAAGGCCAUGGUACAAGGCCUUAUGGUUAACAAAGAACUACAAGUUUCUAAGGGUAGUUCUUGUGAAGGACAAAUAUGUGUGCUGGAGAAUGAACGACAAGAAACCCAUCGACCGAGAAUUAUUAUUUUUUUGCCAGGGAAUAAUGAGGCGAUGUCGCAAACUGGGCCCAAAAUAGUCAUUCAUAAACCCAAUCAUUUCCCUUACAAUGAUGAUAGGAGGGUGCCAUGGAGUUAUGAUUGCAAUAUAACAAUACCUGAGGGGGAGAGUAUAGCUAGCACGGCCAGGGGCACGCAAAAUGAAGGUUCCCAUACACGAAGUGGGAAACGUUAUGAUGGGGGAAUAUCAGAGUGGAGCCCGCAAAGACGAAAGAUGCUGAGGUUGAAAGGAAGAAAGAGACCGAAGUACCCAUCAAUGAGCCGGUAAAGGAGGAAGAAGCUAAGGAGUUUCUAAAGUUCCUGAAACAUAGCGAGUACAGCGUGGUCGAGUAGUUGCGUAAGCAGCUGGCGUGUAUAUCAGUGUUAGCCCUACUCCUGAGUUCUGAGGUGCAUCGGGAUGCAUUGUUAAAGGUGCUUAACGAAACAUACGUCACCCAUGACAUAUCUGUCAACAAGCUGGAUCGGUUAGUAAACAACAUUAGUGUUGACAAUUUCAUCUACUUCAAUGAUGAUGAAAUUCCACCUGGGGGCAUAGGGUCAACCAAGGCCUUGCAUAUCACUACUCAGUGCAAGAGAUACACGCUUCCAAGUGUACUUGUUGAUAAUGGGUCUGCUUUGAACAUCCUUCUAUUAUCAACAUUAAAUAGAUUACCCAUUGACAGUUCAUAUAUGAAGACAUGUCACAAUGUGGUGAGAGCUUUUGAUGGAACUGACAGGAAAGUGAUGGAACGAAUUGACAUCCCUCUAGAGAUUGGACCGAAUACAUAUGAAGUUGAUUUUUUGGUGAUGGAUAUCAAGCCCUCCUAUAAUUGUUUAUUGGGGAGACCAUGGAUACACUCGACAGGAGCAGUGCCUUCUUCAUUGCACCAAAAAUUGAAGUUAGUGACAGAUGGACGCUUAAUAACCAUCAACGCGGAGGAGGAUAUCAUAGCAGCAGUCAUUAGCAAGGCCCCUUAUGUUGAGGCCAAUAAAGAGGCUAUUGAGUGUUCUUUCUGCUCUUUAGAAAUCAUUAAUGCCACCUUCAUUUCAGAAGGAAGUGUGAUGCCGGCACCCAAAAUGUCUAGAGCCACGAGGAUGGCUCUACAAAUGAUGAUAGGGAGGGGAGCAUUUCCAGGAAAAGGGCUAGGAAGAAAGUUGCAAGGAGGGGUUCAAAUCCAAAAAUUGAUUGAGAAGAAGGACCGUUUUGGCUUGGGCUUCAAGCCAGACCACAAGCACAAGGGGCAGGAAAUAGAGAAGCGCCAAGCGAGAAGAAAGGCGCGUUUGAAUGGAAGAGAAGUGGAGUGGGAACCGAUGACAUUCCCACCUAUAUCCAAAUCUUUUAAGUCAGGAGGAUUGCUGAUAGAGGAAAGUCAUCAAGUUAAUGCUGUACAUAAUAAGGGAUCGGAGCAAGGAAACCUCGAGGACAUUCGCCCUUACAAAUCGGGGAGCUCUCUAAAUAAUUGGAUUGCGGAGGACCUUCCUGCAGUCUUUAGAAAUUUUUCAGAGUAAUUCUCGGAACAUGUUUGUUACUCUAGGGCCUAGGAGUAGUAAGAUUAUGUUUGUGAAAAGAGGUCUAUGUUCAUCUAUAAUUAUUUAAAUAAAACAUAACUUUUAUCAAUUUAAAUGAGUAUUGUUUCAUUUUUAUCGACCAAUAUUCCUUUAAAUUCUGGCAAUUCUUAUUCUUUUAUUCAUAGCACAUAAACAAUCAUUCUUAGAUUCAUUCAUUCUUUGUAUAUUCUUUCAUACCCCCACAGGUCCCUAGAUAUCAAUGAUAUGAGCGCUAAUACUGCAGCUCCUAAUUUCUCUGGUGAGCAAAACAUGUGUUUAGAGGAACCUCAGGAUUUUGAAGAUGUUCAAGAUUGUGACAUUUCUCUCGAUUUGCUAAGAAUGGUAAAGCAAUAGGAGAAACAAAUCAUGCCACAUGAGAAAGAGGCAAUACAGAUUAUAACCCUAGAGGAGAGGAAGGAGUUGAAAAUCGAAACCCUAAUUAGCGAGUACACAAGACAUGGUCUGGUUGAGUUGCUUCGAGAGUUCAAGGAUAUCUUCGCCUGGUCAUAUCAGGAUAUGCCCAGAUUGAGUACUGACAUUGUGUACAUCGACUUCCGAUAAGAUAGGAUUGUAAGCCAGUCCAACAGAAGUUGCGAAGAAUGAGGCUAGAUAUCGUUUUGAAAAUAAAUGAUGAAGUCAAGAAGCAGUUCGAUGCAGGAUUCUUGCAAGAAGUGAAGUACUCCGAAUGGGUAGCUAACAUUAUGCCUAUUCCUAAGAAGGAUGGAAAGGUAUGAAUGUGUGUUGAUUACAGAGAUCUGAACAAAGCAAGCCCAAAGGAUAAUUUUCCUUUACCACACAUUGACACUUUAGUAGACAACACAGCGGGAUAUUUGUUGUUCUCCUUUAUGGAUGGUUUCUCAGGAUACAAUCAGAUAAGGAUGCAUCCGGAGGACAUGGAUAAAACCACAUUCAUAACCUUGUGGGGCACAUUUUGCUACAAAGUAAUGCCAUUUGGACUAAAAAAAGCAGGGGCAACAUACCAACAGGCCAUGGUGAACUUGUUCCACGACAUGAUGCAUAAGGAUAUUGAGGUAUAUGUUGAUGAUAUGAUUGCCAAGUCGCACUUAGAAAAAGAGCACAUUGAGGUCUUGAGAAUAUUGUUCUUGAGGUUGAGAAUUUCAGUUGAAGCUCAAUCCAGCAAAGUGUACUUUUGGAGCCAGAUCAGGAAAGUUAUUAGGCUUCGUAGUCAGUGAAAAAGGAAUUGAAGUCGACUCAGACAAGGUCAGAGCCAUACGAGAGUUACCUCCACCACGUACUCAGAAGGAAGUUCGAGGAUUCCUAGGAAUAUUUAAUUACAUUGCUCGGUUCAUUUCACAACUAACCGAGAAAUGUGAUCCUAUCUUUCGCCUUCUCAGAAAGCACAAUCAAGGUACUUGGGAUGAGGAAUGCCAGAAUGCUUUUGAAAAGGUCUAGCGGUAUUUGAUGAAUGCUCCGGUAUUGUCUCCACCUAGCCCAGAUAAACCAUUAAUACUGUACUUGUCAGUGUUCAGUAAUUCUAUGGGAUGUGUGCUUGGCCAACAUGAAGAGUCAGGGAAAAAGGAGAAGGCAAUUUAUUAUCUCAGUAAGAAGUUCAUUGACUGUGAGAUGAGAAAUUCACCAAUUGAAAAGUUGUGUUGUGCGCUGAUUUGGACAACUCGGAGAUUAAGACAAUAUAUGCUAUACCAUACCACUUGGCUUAUCUCAAAACUUGAUCCGUUGAAAUACAUGAUGGAGUCAAUGGCUCUAAAUGGGAGAAUGGCGAGAUGGAAUAUUUUGCUUUCGGAGUUUGAUAUAGUCUACAUAAGUCAAAAGGCUAUAAAAGAAAGUGCGGUAGCAGACUUCUUGGCUAGUAGGGCUCUAGAGGAUUAUGAGACAUUGAACUUCGAUUUUCCAAAUGAGGAGUUGAUGUGUAUAGCAAUGACUGAAAAUUCUUCUUGGAAGCUCAAUUUUGAUGGGGCUUCUAAUGCAGUCGAAAAGUGAAUUGGGGCAGUCUUGGUAUCUCCAAAUGGCGAUCAUUAUCCUUUUACGUGCAAGUUGGACUUUGAUUGCACGAACAAUAUGGAUGAAUAUGAAGCAUGCAUCAUGGGACUUCAAGCAACUAUAGAAUGAGGUAUAAAAACCCUAGAAGUAUAUGGAGAUUUGGCGUUGGUUGUUUAUCAGCUUAGAAGUGAAUGAGAGACAUGGGACCCUAAAUUGAUUAGUUAUCGAAAGGUAGUUUUGGGGUUACUUGAGGAAUUUGAUAGCACCACCUUCAAUUAUCUCCCACGAGACGAAAAUCAGAUGGAAAAUGCUUUAGCAACCUUGGCCUCAAUGAUCAAGGCGAAUAAAGAAGAAGAAAUGAAGCCAAUUCAAAUGAGGGUUUACGAGACUCCAGCUCAUUGUUGUAACAUUGAGAAGGAAAGAAAUGACAAUAACCCCUGGUAUCAAGAUAUAUUGCGAUAUGUGAGAGAUCGCAAAUACCCUGAACAGGCCAGUGAAAAUGAUAAACGAACUUUGAGGAGGUUAGCUUGCGACUAUGUUUUAGAUGGAGAUAUCCUAUACAAGAGACGGAAAGAUCAAGUACUUUUGAGAUGUGUCGAUGCUGUGGAAGCUAAGCUAAUUUUAGAAGAAGUUCAUGAAGGGGUAUGCGGGACGCAUGCAAAUGGGUUCACGAUGGCAAGGCAAAUCAUGAGGUUUGGCUAUUAUUGGGCCACCAUGGAAGGGGACUGUAUCAACUAUACCAAGAAAUGCCAUAAGUGUCAGAUUUAUGGAGACAAAAUUCAUGUACCACAUUCACCUUUACUUGUUAUGACUUCUCCUGUAACACCCCGAACCCGAGACCGUCACCGGAGUCGAACACGAGGUGUUAACAGACUUUAAACCACUUAUAAAAAAAUUUCCCAGACACUGCCAAUCUGCAUACUAGUCGCUUAAAAAAAUCAUAUCUUGAGUUAAGAAACUCAGAAUCCAGUUCUGUAAAUUUUCCCUGAAACUAGACUCAUAUUCCCAUCUACAUAUUUUUUUCUAGAAUUUUUGGUUGGGCCAAUUAGUACAGUUUAUUAGUAAAAGUCUCCCAUGUUACAGGGAUCGACUACACUGACCUUUGCGCAUUACGACUUGGAUAUCUCCCUGUACAGGGCUUCAAUACUGAUGUAGUUUGUUUCUAUAGAAACUAGACUCAAAGAGGAAUCUAUACAUAUAUGGCAUGACUCCUAAUUAUCUCUGGUUAAUUUAUAAUUAAUUUCCAAAGUCGAAACAGGGAAUCCAGAAACCGUUCUGGCCCUGUCUCACGAGAACCUAAAUAUCUCUUAACAUACUGUCCAUAUGAUCAUUUCGUUACUUUCCUAUGAAAAUAGAUUCAUCAAGGUUCGUUUACAUAAUUUAUUCACUAUUUAAUUCCAUUCCUAAUAUUUUUAGUGAUUUUCCAAAUCUACAUCACUGCUGCUGUCAGCAUCUGCCUUUAAGGUAGACUUUACCUAUUUCAUAGUUUCCAUGAUUCAACUAGCCCUUUUAGCAUAAAUAGCACAAUUUAUGAUAGUGAUUAACCAUUCCCAUGGCCAAUCCUUGUUAAGCAUAUCCACACCUCUCAAUAACCAUAUCCAUACCAAAUGAUUAUAACAUUAUACUCAAACAUAUAUAAGCCAUUUUCACAUGGCUAUCCAAAAUUAUACAAGUCCAAAGGGUCCAUGACCCCCAACAAAAAGGGUAGUCCUGUACAUGCCAUUUCGAAGUUCAACCAAAAUUGUACCAAAAGGGGGGGCUUUGAUAGUGUGGGCGACUUCGACUUCAAAAUCCCGAGUCCGAUAGCUAGAGAACCAAAAUCUAUAAAACAGAGAAUCAAGGAGACGGAGUAAGCAAUUUAUGCUUAGUAAGUUUUGAGCAAGGGAUUCCAGCACAACAAAAGUAUAGCAUUCAUGUAGCUAAACGGAUAAUUUCAUAUGCACAAAUUUUCAAUAUCAUACUUACUUCACAUUACCAACCCUUUUAUUCAUACACAAAGAUCAACUUAGCCAAAGGCCGGUAGCUCAUUUAUCAAUUGAGCGAAUACUUAUUUGUAAGGGCUCAACUAAUUCAAAGCACAUACGAAACAUACCUCAAUGUUGGGAUGUUUCAAGCGUAUUAACUGAAAUUUUUACAGCAAGAUCAUUCAUUCCCAAAUCACGUACCUUCGGAAUUUAACCAGAUAUAGCUACUCGUUCAAAUGCCUUCGGGACAUAGCCCGGUUAUAGUAACUCGCACAAAUGCCUUCGGGACUUAACCCGGAUUUAGUAACUCGCACAAAUGCCUUCGGGCUUAGCCCGGAAUUAGUAUCUCGCACAAAUGCCUUCGGGCUUAGCCCAGAAUUAGUAUCUUGCACAAAUGCCUUCGGAUCUUAGUCCGGAUAUGGUCACUUAGCACAAAGCCUUCAGGACUUAGCCCGGACAUCAUUCAAAUAACCAUGCACAUUUAACAAUAAAUCAUGGCACAUUCGUAUUUCAUUUUUGUUAGCAAAACUUGAACACAAGACACUUAUCAUUCUUGCAAUUUCGGCUCAAUAGCCACACACAAAGAGCAUGAUUUUAAUUUGCUUAAAACAUGAUCUAAUCAAAUCAUAAUUUAAGCUCUUUUACUCAAGAACUUACCUCGGAUGUUGUCGAACGAUUCCGAUAGCUAUUCGACCACUUUUUCCUUCCCUUUAUCGGAUUUAGUUCCCCUUUGCUCUUGAGCUUAAUUAAACAAAUAAAUUGAUUUAAUCAUUUGAGCAUCGAAAAGAGGAACACAAGGCACUUAGCCCAUAUUUAUACAUUAGACAUUAAAGUCACAUACAUGUGAAAUCAUGCAUCAACUCAACAUAUUAGCCAAUAUUCACCUUAGCCGAAUUUUCUAAGUCAAGAUAAAGCCAUCAAUAUGUUUACCUAUGGCCAAACAUACACAUCAACCUAUGUACUCAUUCAUGUGGUCGAGUAUACAUAUUCCAAUAUGAUUUCAUUUCCAUUUCGUUUAACACUUAACUUUUACCACAUAUCAAAUAACCCAUUUCUUUACUCAUGUGGCCAAUUCUAUUCGGUCAUGCAUACACACAUAAAAUCAAUUUGGAGACUCUAUCAAUCCAACAUACAUUCGGCAAUAGUCCAUAAUUCUCUCUCUCGGCCACUCAUUUCCCACUUAACAAAGCUUCCAUUCGAACUCAUUUGUGAGUAUCAAUUAACUUAAGCUAUCUUUUAAACCUUUAUUUAUCACUUCAUGCCAAACCAAAGACCACAUUCGGCACUUUCAUCCACCAUUCUACCAAGCAUGUAAUAUUCAACCACAACCAACUCACAAUCGGCCCUAGUUCAUAACAAGGUAGCCGAAUUCUUUUUAUGGUUCAAACACUCAUCUAUCAUCAUUCACCUAACUUUAACAUGAAACAACAAAACUCACCAUUAUUAGCUACCAUAGUCGAAAACCUUACUCAAUCCAAAAAUCAAAAUUUCAUCAUGGGUUACAAAAAAUAACUUGAUAUCUCACUCAAGAUCAACUAAAAUUUCAAGAACUAAUAUGAACACCUUACCUUAAUAUUGACCUAAGAUGACCGAUGGCUUCACUCUCUUCUUCCUCCUUUCAAUUCGGCCAAGAAGAACCAAAGAACAGAACUUGUUUUCAUCACCAAAUGCUCUUGUUCCCUUUUUUUUUCUUUAGAUUCGGCUAGGAAAAAACAUGUAUGAUGAUCUCUUUUUUUUUUCUUUCAUCAUUUUCCUUUUUUCAUUUCUUUAUUACUAACUUUUUAUUUUGUUAUUCCUCCCAUGAUGAACCAACAUAACAUGUCUAUGACAUGUUUUGCCCAUCACACCUUGUCCACCCUAUUUGUCAUGGCCAGCCACUACUAAAUGGGGGGGAAAUUGACAUGCAAGUCCCCCCUUUUUCUUACAUGCACUAAUAGAUCCUUAUGCUUUGACCUAUCACAUUUCAAAAUUUUCUCACAUAAAUCCUAUUUACUAAAAUUCACCUACAAUUAAACAAAAUUCAAAUAUGAAAUUUUCACACAUGCAUAUAUACAUAUAAUAAGCAUCAAAUAUGACAGCUAAUUAUUUUUAUGACUCGGUUUAGCGAUCCCGAAACCACUUCCCGACUAGGGUCAAUUUUGGGCUGUCACAACUCUCCCCCACUUAAGAAAUUUUCGUCCCCGAAAAUUUCUACCGAUGCAUAGUUUAGGAUAACGUCCUCUUAUUGAAUUAUAUCCAUAUAAACAUUAGCUCAUCGAUAGAAAUUGUAAUUCAUUACUGAUUUCGCAUCGAUCCAUAAAAUCAUUUUCUUAUCCUAAGACAAAUACAUAAACAUUUCUACAAGUAUGCACAUAUAUCUCAUUUUCUUGAUUUCAUAAGCAAUAAUCACUUAAUUUAAUUCACAAAUGCAUUUCAAACACAUAUUAAGCACAUAUUAACAUGUAUAAUUCACAUCAUCAACCCACAUAUUUGUAACCCACAUUUUCAUUCAUGUAUAAGCUGUAAUCUGACCAAAAGUACACAUAUACUCAAACAUCCCAAUAAAUAUCCUUAAUAACUCCAUCAUAUCUCACUAUUUAACUUAUUUCAUUUCCAAAAGAAAAGUCAACUUCCACGUACCUGAACAUUUAGUUCAUUUAGCACAUUCAAUCAUAGUUAACGUUACCCGUAUACAGUCGAAUAGGCAUAAAGCCUAAUAUAAUACUCUGGCAUGAGAUUUAUUCUAGCGCAUGACUCGUUUAUCCAAAAUUAUCAACAUUCAUCAAAAAUUCUUUCAAACUUUCGAAUGUCGAAACUUAAUCAAAAUAAUUUCUUGAACAAGAUUAACAAAAUAGUGUCCAUUCAGCAAUAGCACAUAUAGCUCUUACAAUGCCAUAUCCUUGAUAUGGUCUUACAUAUUCUCACAUAUCGAGUCGAUGCCAUGUCCCAGAUAUGGUCUUACACACUAUCUCAAAUCAAUGCCUUCGUCCCAAACGAGGUCUUACAUGAAUUUCACUUCACACACUUAGUGCCCACUGACCGAUCUCGCACUCAUAGUGCUCGGUUAAAGGAAUUCGCACACACACAGUGCCUCUAAUUAUUCACAUACAUAGUGCUCUUAUUCAUUCGUUAAUACACAUUGAUAUGACUUAACCAAGUCUAUAAACAUCAUGUAUGUACACUUUUAAACAUAUCAUCUCAUUUAAUUUUGAAUUCGUAUAGUAAUGAAUACUUAAACUUUGCUCAAAUUACCGGCACGAAGCCUACUAGGCACGAAGGCCCGAAUACACGUCACCAGCAUGAUUGCUCUUCGGGACCUAGCCCGGAUAUAACACCAGCACGAAUGCUCUUCGGGGUUUAGCACGGAUAUAUCACUAGCACGAAUGCUCUUCAGAACUUAGCCCGGAUACAUCACUAGCAUGAAUGCUCUUCGGAACUUAGCCCGGAUACAUCACUAGCAUGAAUGCUCUUCGGCUUUACAAGCUCGCUCGACAAGUACUACGAACUCUCGUAUUUCAAGAAUGCCAACGAACAUUUUUAUAUCUUCAUUCAGCCCAUCCUCGAAGCGUUUACACAUGAUAGCCUCGGACGAAACACAUUCCCGAGCGUAUCUACUAAGUCUAACAAAUUUUCGCUCGUAAUCAGUAACUGACAUAGAACCUUGCUUAAGCUCAAGAAAUUUCUUCCGUUUUUGAUCAACAAAUCUCUGACUGAUAUACUUUUUCCGAAACUCAGUUUGGAAAAACUCCCAAGUUACUUGCUCUCGGGGCACAACAGAAGUCAGAGUACUCCACCAAUAGUAGGCAGAAUCGCGUAGCAAGGAGAUAGUACACUUUAGGCAUUCAUCGGGUGUACAAGAUAGCUCAUCGAGUACCCGGAUAGUGUUGUCCAACCAAAAUUCAGCUUGCUCGGCAUCGUCGCUAUCCGUAGCUUUAAAUUCAGUAGCCCCAUGUUUUCAGAUUCUGUCAACUGGGGGCUUAUUUGACCUUAUUUGGUCAGUUACCGGAGGUAUUGUAGGUGCGGGGGUGGUAUUUGUCGGGAAUGGAGGUUGUGGAAUACCCGUAUUAGUUCGAAUGUAUUGGUUGAACCAAUCAUUCAUCACGCUAUAGAAAGCUUGUCUAGCUUCAUCAUUCGGGUUACUAGCAUUAGGUUGAGAGUCCGCCGGCGCUGUCCCUUGUGCGGGAGCAGGCGCUACACUCUCAAGAUCAUCAGCUACCACUCGGUCGGGAUCGGGAUCCAUUACUAUAAAUAAACACAUUUGCAAAUCUCAGAAAUCACCACACUAUCAAAUAAUCACAUAAAAUGGCAUGUAUAGCUAGACCCAACGCAUUACGGUAGUCCUAGAAUCGACUAAACCGUAGCUCUGAUACCAAUCAAAUGUAACACCCCGAACCCGAGACCGUCACUGGAGCCGAACACGAGGUGUUAACAGACUUUAAACCACUUAUAAAAAAAUUUCCCAGACACUGCCAAUCUGCGUACUAGUCGCUUAAAAAAAUCAUAUCUUGAGUUCAGAAACUCGGAAUCCAGUUCCGUAAAUUUUCCCUCAAACUAGACUCAUAUGCCCAUCUACAUAUUUUUUUCUAGAAUUUUUGGUUGGGAAAAUUAGUACAUUUUAUUAGUCAAAGUCUCCCAUGUUACAGGGAUCUACUACACUGACCUUUGCGCAUUGCGACUUGGAUAUCUCCCUUUACAGGGCUUCAAUACUGAUGUAGUUUGUUUCUAUAGAAACUAGACUCAAAGAGGAAUCUAUACAUAUAUGGCAUGACUCCUAAUUAUCUCUGGUUAAUUUAUAAUGAAUUUCCAAAGUCGAAACAGGGAAUCCAGAAACCGUUCUGGCCCUGUCUCACGAGAACCUGAAUAUCUCUUAACAUACUGUCCAUAUGAUCGUUUCGUUACUUUCCUAUGAAAAUAGAUUCAUCAAGGUUCGUUUACAAAAUUUAUUCACUAUUUAAUUAGAUUCCUAAUAUUUUUAGUGAUUUUCCAAAUCUACAUCACUGCUGCUAUCAGCAUCUGCCUUUAAGGUAGACUUUACCUAUUUCAUAGUUUCCAUGAUUCAACUAGCCCUUUUAGCAUAAAUAGCACAAUUUAUGAUAGUGAUUAACCAUUCCCAUGGCCAAUCCUUGUUAAGCAUAUCCACACCUCUCAAUAACCAUAUCCAUACCAAAUGAUUAUAACAUUAUACUCAAACAUAUAUAAGCCAUUUUCACAUGGCUAUCCAAAAUUAUACAAGUCCAAAGGGUCCAUGACCCCCAACAAAAAGGGUAGUCCUAUACAUGCCAUUUCGAAGUUCAACCAAAAUUGUACCAAAAGGGGGGGCUUUGAUAGUGUGGGUGACUUCGACUUUAAAAUCCCGAGUCCGAUAGCUGGAGAACCAAAAUCUAUAAAACAGAGAAUCAAGGAGACGGAGUAAGCAAUUUAUGCUUAGUAAGUUUUGAGCAAGGGAUUCCAGCACAACAAAAGUAUAGCAUUCAUGUAGCUAAACGGAUAAUUUCAUAUGCACAAAUUUUCAAUAUCAUACUUACUUCACAUUACCAACCCUUUUAUUCAUACACAAAGAUCAACUUAGCCAAAGGCCGGUAGCUCAUUUAUCAAUUGAGCGAAUACUUAUUUGUAAGGGCUCAACUAAUUCAAAGCACAUACGAAACAUACCUCAAUGUUGGGAUGUUUCAAGCGUAUUAACAGAAAUUUUUAUAGCAAGAUCAUUCAUUCCCAAAUCACGUACCUUCGGAAUUUAACCGGAUAUAGCUACUCGUUCAAAUGCCUUCGGGACAUAGCCCGGUUAUAGUAACUCGCACAAAUGCCUUCGGGACUUAACCCGGAUUUAGUAACUCGCACAAAUGCCUUCGGGCUUAGCCCGGAAUUAGUAUCUCGCACAAAUGCCUUCGGGCUUAGCCCAGAAUUAGUAUCUCGCACAAAUGCCUUCGGAUCUUAGUCCGGAUAUGGUCACUUAGCACAAAGCCUUCGGGACUUAGCCCGGACAUCAUUCAAAUAACCAUGCACAUUUAACAAUAAAUCAUGGCACAUUCAUAUUUCAUUUUUGUUAGCAAAACUUGAACACAAGACACUUAUCAUUCUUGCAAUUUCGGCUCAAUAGCCACACACAAAGAGCAUGAUUUUAAUUUUCUUAAAACAUGAUCUAAUCAAAUCAUAAUUUAAGCUCUUUUACUCAAGAACUUACCUCGGAUGUUGUCGAACGAUUCCGAUAGCUAUUCGACCACUUUUUCCUUCCCUUUAUCGGAUUUAGUUCCCCUUUGCUCUUGAGCUUAAUUAAACAAAUAAAUUGAUUUAAUCAUUUGAGCAUCGAAAAGAGGAACACAAGGCACUUAGCCCAUAUUUAUACAUUAGACAUUAAAGUCACAUACAUGUGAAAUCAUGCAUCAACUCAACAUAUUAGCCAAUAUUCACCUUAGCCGAAUUUUCUAAGUCAAGAUAAAGCCAUAAAUAUGUUUACCUAUGGCCAAACAUACACAUCAACCUAUGUACUCAUUCAUGUGGUCGAGUAUACAUAUUCCAAUAUGAUUUCAUUUCCAUUUCGUUUAACACUUAACUUUUACCACAUAUCAAAUAACCCAUUUCUUUACUCAUGUGGCCAAUUCUAUUCGGUCAUGCAUACACACAUAAAAUCAAUUUGGAGACUCUAUCAAUCCAACAUACAUUCGGUAAUAGUCCAUAAUUCUCUCUCUCGGCCACUCAUUUCCCACUUAACAAAGCUUCCAUUCAAACUCAUUUGUGAGUAUCAAUUAACUUAAGCUAUCUUUUAAACCUUUAUUUAUCACUUCAUGCCAAACCAAAGACCACAUUCGGCACUUUCAUCCACCAUUCUACCAAGCAUGUAAUAUUCAACCACAACCAACUCACAAUAGGCCCUAGUUCAUAACAAGGUAGCCGAAUUCUUUUUAUGGUUCAAACACUCAUCUAUCAUCAUUCACCUAACUUUAACAUGAAACAACAAAACUCACCAUUAUUAGCUACCAUAGUCGAAAACCUUACUCAAUCCAAAAAUCAAAAUUUCAUCAUGGGUUACAAAAAAUAACUUGAUAUCUCACUCAAGAUCAACUAAAAUUUCAAGAACUAAUAUGAACACCUUACCUUAAUAUUGACCUAAGAUGACCGAUGGCUUCACUCUCUUCUUCCUCCUUUCAAUUCGGCCAAGAAGAACCAAAGAACACAACUUGUUUUCAUCACCAAAUGCUCUUGUUCCCUUUUUUUUUCUUUAGAUUCGGCUAGGAAGAAACAUGUAUGAUGAUCUCUUUUUUUUUUCUUUCAUCAUUUUCCUUUUUCCAUUUCUUUAUUACUAACUUUUUAUUUUGUUAUUCCUCCCAUGACGAACCAACAUAACAUGUCUAUGACAUGUUUUGCCCAUCACACCUUGUCCACCCUAUUUGUCAUGGCCGGCCACUACUAAAUGGGGGGGAAAUUGACAUGCAAGUCCCCCUUUUUCUUACAUGCACUAAUAGAUCCUUAUGCUUUGACCUAUCACAUUUCAAAAUUUUCUCACAUAAGUCCUAUUUACUAAAAUUCACCUACAAUUAAACAAAAUUCAAAUAUGAAAUUUUCACACAUGCAUAUAUACAUAUAAUAAGCAUCAAAUAUGACAGCUAAUUAUUUUUAUGACUCGGUUUAGCGGUCCCGAAACCACUUCCCGACUAGGGUCAAUUUUGGGCUGUCACAUCUCCAUGGCCCUUCUCCAUGUGCGGCAUGGAUGUUAUCGGACCAAUAUCACCGAAAGCUUCGAAUGGACAUCUGUUUAUCUUCGUGGUAAUUAACUACUUUUCAAAAUGGGUAGAGGCUGCCUCUUAUGCUAAUGUUACUAAGUCAGCAGUGAGUCGAUUCUUGAAGAUAGAGAUCAUUUCUCGGUAUGGAAUGCCUAAGAAGAUCAUAUCCGACAAUGCAUUGAAUUUGAACAACAAAACAAUAGCGGAGGUUUGCGACCAGUUCAAAAUCAGACAUCAUAAUUCUUCCCCUUAUCGUCCAAAAAUGAAUGGGGCGGUGGAGGCUGCCAACAAGAAUAUUAAGAAAAUAGUGGGGAAGAUGGCUGAGACCUAUAGAGGUUGGCAUGAGAAGUUACCAUUUGCACUCCUAGCCUAUCGAACAUCUGUCAGAACCUCUAUUGGGGCAACUCCAUUCUCGCUAGUUUAUGGGAUGGAAGCAGUAUUACCUAUUGAAGUAGAAAUACCUUCUCUUCGAAUUUUGAUGGAGGUAAAGUUAGAUGAAGCUGAGUGGGUUCAAUCCCAUUAUGACCAGUUGAACUUGAUUGAGGAAAAGAGGCUAAAAGCCAUUCGACAUGGUCAGAUGUAUCAGAAGCGAAUGAUGCGAGCUUAUGACAAGAAAGUUCGACCAAGAGAAUUCCAUGAGGGAGACCUUGUACUGAAAAAGAUCCUUCAUAUUCAAAAAGAUUUUAGAGGAAAAUGGAUGCCGAAUUGGGAAGGGCUGUAUGUCGUGAAGAAAGCUUUCUCCGGUGGUGCAUUGAUCUUAGCGGAAAUGGAUGGGAAGAGUUUACCCAAUCCAGUGAACUCGGACUCAGUUAAAAAAUACUUUGUCUAAAGAAGAAGGGAAUCUAAGGUGAAAACUCACAAAGGGCGCCUUGAGAUUUUUUUAAAAAAAAUAACAAUAAUAAAAAAAUAAUAAUAAAAAAAUAAAAUAAAAAAAAUAGAGAGGCUAAGGUGAAAACUCGCAAAGGGUACCUUGUGACCAAAAGGGUUUUGAGUUGAAAACCCUAAAGGGCAGCUCAAAUUUUGAGGAGUACACAAUGAUCUUGCUACAAAGAGCGAAGAAUGUUGCAAACUGGGGCAUCAACAGAGUACUUGGGAUCUUUUAAACAUAUGUUGAACUCAAGAAAGAUUUCAUGGAGCUGGUGUAUAGGCACCCAAGUGGCGAUAUCUAGAGGAUCUAACUUCUAUCUUGUUGGUUAUCUUUAGAUUCUAUUUCUUCUAAAAGAUAGGCUAGCAGAUUAAUUCCCUUUUAUAUCUUUUUGAUAAUUCAUUCAAAUCCAAUUAUUCUUAAGAGUUUAUUCAUCUUCUAUUAUUCUUUAAGUAUGUUGCAUUGAAAUAAUAAUAGAUGAAUUAAAUAUGUUCACAAAUGAGGUUUUGCGCAUUACUCUGGAAUUUCUAAAUAAUACAAGAAACUAAAACAGGACAAUUGUUCGAGAAAUUCAUGUAAGUAAGGGAUGAAAGAACUUGUGGAAUUCCUUUCUUCCAGUCCAAAAGGAAAAUAGACAAAGCCAAUAAUUCAGUUCUUACAAACAUCCUCAAUGGAUCGUAGCAUUGGAGGACGGCUUACAGGCUGAGCAUGAAUGAAACUUUGAGAAAAGAAAAGAAAAAUGAAGGAAUGAAUGAUGACGUCUAGGAUAGGGGUCAUAUUCACAACAUUUUGCAUCAUAACAUGUUUAAUUAGGAACAUUCGACUCACUUCAAGCGUAGCAUCCUAAAUUAUCAGGCAUAAUCAUUCUAUAGGUUAUCGGAGAUAGUGCACUUUAAACCCCAAAACAGUAGGGUAAUAAGCCGCAGCAUAGCAGAUCUCAUGUUCAGAUGUUUAUGCUGAAGCAGAUCCAAGAUGACAGAUCUUAUCUCUCUGUAUUCGGCGGGGAGCAUAUUAAAGAUAUAGCUGAUUUGGCUUUCACGUGUUUACAAUGAAGCACAUCUAAGAUGAUUUGUUGCCUUUGUAUUGUCAGAGAACAAAUCGAAGUCUGGCAUUUCCACUUUAAUGGAAGGCAGACACAUAGCAGAUCUCACCUUCAGAUGUUUACGCUGAAGCAGAUCCAAGAUGAUAGAUCUUAUCUCUCUAUAUUCGGCAGGGAACAGAUCGAAGAUAUAGCUGAUUUGGCUUUCACGUGUUUACGAUGAAGCAAAUCUAAGAUGAUUUGUUGCCUCUGUAUUGUCAGAGAACAAAUCGAAGUCUGGCAUUUCCACUUUAAUGGAAGGCAAACACAUAGCAGAUCUCACCUUCAGAUGUUUACGCUGAAGCAGAUCCAAGAUGACAGAUCUUAUCUCUCUGUAUUCGGCAGGGAGUAGAUCGAAGAUAUAGCUGAUUUGGCUUUCACGUGUUUACGAUGAAGCAAAUCUAAGAUGAUUUGUCGUCUCUGUAUUGUCAGAGAACAAAUCAAAGUCUAGCAUCUCUACUUCAAUAGAGUGCAGAUACAUAGCAGAUCUGACCUUCAGACGAUUAGACUGAAACAAGAUCCAAGAGGAUUUGGCAUCCUUGUGCUUACAAGGAGCAAAUCGAAGACAUAGCUGAUUUAGCUUUCACAUGCUUAUGAUGAAGAAAAUCUAAGGUGAUUUGUCAUACCUGUAUUGUUAGAGAACAAAUCGAAGAAGCAAAUUUGGCGUCUCUGUGUUUGGCGGAGAGCCGAUCGAAGAUACCAACAUGAUAGUCAAGAAGAUUGAAGACCAUGAUUUGACCAGUCAAAUUUGAUAUUUUAAAUCUUUGCUCGAUUCCCGUUACACAGCAAUGAGCAAGAGGGGCAGCAGUAUUAGCCCAAAUUUGACCGGGCUGACGAUAGAAUAAAAAGGGUUAAAUAAAUAAGUAUUUAUCUAUUUUAAAAGUCCAUUAAAAGUCUAUAUACAGAGUCCAAAAGAAUUAAAUCCCAGCAGCCCAAAAUACACCUGUAGCCCAAUUUAAACCAAACCAGGUUACACCUAAGCCUAAAUAACAGACCUUAGACUAAAGUGGCCCAAAAGGCCCAAAACGGUAAAAACAGACAAGGAAACCCUAGGGUUUCCUGAGAACACAACGCCGCAAGGAGUUUCUAGAAGUUUCAGGCACUCCAAACGACGUGACCUUUCAUCUCACAGAUUCAACAGCCCGAUCGUCACCACCAAGCACGCCAUGAUUUCUCGUCUCUAUCACCACUAGACUUUAGGCCUCCAUCAACGCUAGCAACCUUCCAUCACCGAGAUCUUCGGGGUACCUGCAAGAAAAGAAAAGAAAUCAAAGCAAAAGGCAGCAGAUAUACUAGAGCAGGAAAUGGAAAGAAAUAUUCUGAUUUCUUUCCAAAAUAGGCAGUAGUCUGAGGCUAUAAAGCCUUUCGCAAAAUCUGUAAAUAGGAGGAUACGAGAAGAAAACAAAAAUACAGAAAAAAGAUUUUACUAGCAGUUGUAUCCAUUUAGAGCAGAAGAAAUAAAAAAGCAGUUCUUUUUUCGUUUCUUACGGUAAUCAAAUCAUUUUUUUAUUCUUUUCUUUUUCUUCUAUUUGUUUUCUGACCUGUAUACAUUGAUUUGAGAAAUAAUAAAAGAAAAUAAAAGAAAAGGGAGGCUACCUGACGAUUGGCGAAGGAAGGGAAUGGUUUUUCGAACCCUAGACACCGUGCGCGGUGGUCCUUAGGGCAGCG
This 28294-nucleotide long non-coding RNA is filed under the name Gossypium barbadense (sea-island cotton). RNAcentral's name for it is "long non-coding RNA (GBAR_LNC007036)". The record is from RNAcentral. Lineage: Eukaryota; Viridiplantae; Streptophyta; Magnoliopsida; Malvales; Malvaceae.